Molecule: RNA transcript, 3005 nt
Organism: Herpailurus yagouaroundi (jaguarundi)
Lineage: Eukaryota; Metazoa; Chordata; Mammalia; Carnivora; Felidae
Gene: BBS12
Gene name: Bardet-Biedl syndrome 12
Exons: 6
Source: RefSeq, a predicted model, not a curated record
UUCCCAGCCAACCCUUAAGCAGAACUUUUCCUCUGGUUUCUUAGCGACCAGCCCCGCCCAGCCGGCCCUCUCGCCCCGCUUCGCGCAUGCGCAAAACGCCGGCGGGGAAGGGGGCGUCUUCGUCCCGGCGCUCUGGCGUCCAAGGGCCGGUCAGGACCGCGUCUGGCGGUGGGAAGCUGGGAACUGGAGCCUCGGGUGAAGAUGGAGAAAAGAGCGAGCUGUACCAGGGUAAGCAUGGAGUAGACAAGAGAGUUGGAUUUCAUCAGGCUUUGUGACUUUGCAAGGGGGCAAACUUCUACUCUUAUCCUCUUUUGAAGUUUUGACCUACUGGUUUAAAGUCCUCAAAAGGGAAGGUGAGAUUAUUUUCGUGUGAAUUAGCAUAAAUAUAAAGGAUCAGUUUAUCCUGAAAUACGUUACAGAGGAGAAAUGGAAGGAUUUUUUGAAAAACACACUGAAGAUCUACCCUGGAACCAAUCAACUGAGGCCGGAGAAGGCAGAAUCCUGGAAGACCAUGGCCAUGUAGCUGGGAUGGGACAGCACUUGAGGAAGAAGGGGCAGCAGACAAAGUCUCUAGAAAGCCACUAAACAACAAAAAAAAGUCCAAUGUAUUGAGCCAGGGUGCUCAAAGGUAAAUCAUCAGAAGUAAUCAUUUGCAAGGGAACAUAGUGGGUUCGACUUGGACUAGUUUAGUUUGUGCUGGCCACUUAUGUAGGUGGACAUAUCCACCAGAGAAGUGGGGAUGAGAGGCCUAUGCACCCAGAUAGAGGCAAAGUUUGUAAAUCUAGGAGUCACAUCAGAGCAGUGGUAAUUGAAGCAAAGAGAGUGGAUGUUUGUUGAAGAAGAAAGUAUGGAAAGUGCUCUAAAAAAUGCAAGUAAGAAUGGGAAUGCUUAGUAGAGGAGCUGGGGAAAGGAACUGGGAAAUACUGCUGUAUUUGGAGAGCAGAAAAAGGAAUAGGUAGUAAUAACAGAAGCAGAGAAGCAGCCACCAGGAACUUUUCCUGGAAAAGGAGGAAAAAGGAGAUCUAAAGACAAGAACACUGCAAGAUGAAGUGAUGACAACAUCAUCCUAUACCAGAGGAGGGCCAAAAAAAUCUAACCACUGACAUCUACUGUUCAGCACAGUGUGGGAAGGAAUAUCCAGACUAAUAAUGGUGUAGGGAAUAGGGAGGGCGGUGGGUCUGAAUGUAGCUUGCAGGUGUAGAUGAGUCUUUGAAAAGGUUCAGUGGUGAAGGUAAGGAGUGAAAUGGGAUGGAAAAAAGCAUUUUAUAAUAAAGGUGCCUAAAGUCUGCUAUAGGCCCAGAGGAGAGAGCCUGGUAGCUCCUUACCUAUUUGGAACCUGGCUCUCCAGCAACCUCCACUAUCUGGAAUACAGUGAAGAACCAAGAAGCAAAAAUAGUUUGAACAACUUACAUCAGUGUCAUUAUACUUGUUCAAUUGAGUCUAUGGGUUGUACAUAAAAGAAAAUUGAUUCAUUUGCAAAAUUGAAUUAAUCUUACUCUUCUCUAGAUCAGAGAUGAAGAAAUGUUUCUCCCUAGCUCUGGUCUCACAACGGUAAACUAUACCCACAUUUACACAUAAUAAAAUGUUCAACUAACUUCCCAUUCAAUGAUCUAAGGAUAUAAAAUCUUAUAGGACAUUAGGAGGCUACAAAGUGGAAACAGAUGUAGCAUAUUUCAACAUGGCUCUCCUUGACCCAGAAUCCCUGGGAUAGAAGAGGUGGGAAAGGAACAAGAAGAAAAAACUGACACUGUCCAUACAAGGUAGGGUUUUUCCACCCAGAAACGUAAUUCUGACUACAAUCCUGUCCUUUUAUAAUAGGUGUUGAAUUACCAUUCUGGAACACACUAACCCCAUUUGUCAUUACAUUUAAUGAAAGGCUUAUAAAUAACCAGAAUUUCCUGGUUCCUGAACCAAAUGCAGCACCAGUAGGACACAUCAGUGUUCAGUCAUGCCCAGGUGACCCCAGAGGAUCACUCUGCUUCCAGUCCUCUAGUAUCCCAGAAAGUACAUUUCCCCUCUGUGCCAGAGGUUCUCAGAUGCCCCUGUGUCCUUCCUCCAUCCUGCUCUGUGCCCUGGGAGGCAGACCAGCAUGAACUGCAUCAAAGGGAUCUAUCUUGUCUUCUGGAUUCCAGUUGGGUUUGGCCAUUUGGAAGAACUGGAAAGACCCUGGAGUAUAUAAGGAAGAGGCAAAAUUGCAUGAGAACUUGGGGCUCAUUUGACAAGCUUCCAGUCUGGUGAAGAAGGCAAACAUGGGCACUACUAACUACAACUAAAGAAAAAACUUAGCCAAGGCUCCACCAUGCAAACCUGAACAUGCUAGAAAGCCCAAUGUACUCUGACCUGGACCUCUCUGAGAACUGCAAGAGCUGUAGGAGCUCUGAGAACUGGUGCUCCCUGCCAUGACAGGGCCAAUGUGAUAUCAGCUGGAAAGAAGAACUCACAAUCUACCUUGUGAGCCAACCAGAGUGUGAACUCAGGCUUCAUUGGUGAAUUUCCUCCUCUGUCUUAUGUCAAAAGGUAAAGACUAAGUUUAGUUAUAAGAAAUUUAAAAUGUUACUUUUCCUCCUCUGUGCCUCCUCCUACCUUUUGUCCUAAAUUCCUGUUCAAGUUACUUCUUGAGUGACAUGGCUCUUUCUCUCCUGGCAAAGGAAUGCACUCAGUUUUGUCUUGUAUUGUGUUUUGUCCACUUCUCCUGGUCUUUGUAUUUUGAUGUGACACUAGAAACAUGCCAAUAAAGAGAGUGGGUGCUGUAGAGAAGCAGCAGCUGAUCUGGACAGUGAAGGAUGAGAAGAGCUUCAACAGGGAAAGAAGAGAAGUAAGGGUCUUCUAGGUAUAACAGGGCCAAUGCUUCAUAGCAUAACCUCUGGUAUGAAGGAAAUGUAACAUUCUAAAUUUCUUAUAACUAAACUUAGUCUUUACCUUUUGACAUAUAAAUAACUUUGAGCUAGAGGCACCUGGAUGGCUCAGUCGUUAAGUGUCUGACUCUUGAUUUCAGCUCAGGUCAU